AAGUCGUAACAAGGUCUCCGUAGGUGAACCUGCGGAGGGAUCAUUAAAGGAUAUAUAAAAACAAGUGUUUCUUUUUCUCUGUGAGGGGAGAGAGAGCACUUUAACCAAACGAUCACAACCAUAUGAAAAGAGAAAUGAUUUGGUGGGGGCUCUAUAUGAGAAACAAGUGUUUGCCUGAUAAACUGAUUGAACAAAUAAUAUACAACUUUCAACAACGGAUCUCUUGGCUCUCA
This 233-nucleotide unclassified non-coding RNA is filed under the name fungal sp. RNAcentral describes it as "partial internal transcribed spacer region". The stretch from base 1 to 46 matches the Rfam family "Eukaryotic small subunit ribosomal RNA", at positions 1786 to 1831 of the family's 1831-position model. The record is from RNAcentral. Lineage: Eukaryota; Fungi.